ACUAGCAGUAAGAGUUUGAUCAUGGCUCAGAAUGAACGCUGGCGGCGUGCUUUACACAUGCAAGUCGAGCGAGGCGGCCCGCAAGGGCCAGUCGAGCGGCGAACGGGUGAGUAACACGUGGAUCAUCUGCCCAGAGGUGGGGGAUAACCCGGGGAAACUCGGGCUAAUACCGCAUAAGACCGGAAGGUCAAAGGGGGUCGCAAGAUCUCUCGCCAUUGGAGGAGUCCGCGUCCGAUUAGCUAGUUGGUAGGGUAAUGGCCUACCAAGGCGACGAUCGGUAGCCGGCCUGAGAGGGUGAUCAGCCACACUGGGACUGAGACACGGCCCAGACUCCUACGGGAGGCAGCAGUGGGGAAUAUUGGACAAUGGGCGCAAGCCUGAUCCAGCCAUGCCGCGUGAGUGAAGAAGGCCCUAGGGUUGUAAAGCUCUUUCAGCGGGGACGAUAAUGACGGUACCCGCAGAAGAAGCCCCGGCUAACUUCGUGCCAGCCGCCGCGGUAAUUC
This 503-nucleotide ribosomal RNA is filed under the name uncultured bacterium. RNAcentral describes it as "bacterial SSU rRNA". It matches the Rfam family "Bacterial small subunit ribosomal RNA", at positions 1 to 526 of the family's 1533-position model. The record is from RNAcentral.